Long non-coding RNA from Alosa sapidissima (American shad), 336 nucleotides. RefSeq lists it as uncharacterized. Lineage: Eukaryota; Metazoa; Chordata; Actinopteri; Clupeiformes; Clupeidae. The record is from RefSeq and is a predicted model, not a curated record. The transcript has 5 exons.
UCUGCAGGAGUCCUUCUUCCACUGGGCUUUUGGGGUGACCGAGGCCGACUGCUUUGGAGCCAUCCACGUGGAGUCAGGGAGAUCCCUGCUCUUCGCCCCUAAGCUGCCCGACAGCUAUGCCACCUGGAUGGGAGAGAUCUAUCCGAGGGAGCACUACAUGUUGAUGAAGUGCACUACACCUGUGAUAUUGCUGAUGUUCAAGCGGAGUCCAGCGGCCCUCCUUACUCUGCGUGGAGUGAAUACUGAUAGUGGGAGUACCUGUCGCGAAGCCUCCUUUGAAGGAAUCAGCCAAUUCAAAGUAAACAACACCAUCCUGCACCCUGUAAUUGUGGAAUG